AAGCAUAUCAAUAAGCGGAGGAAAAGAAACCAACAGGGAUUGCCCCAGUAACGGCGAGUGAAGCGGCAACAGCUCAAAUUUGAAAUCUGGCCCUCGGGUCCGAGUUGUAAUUUGGAGAGGAUGCUUUUGGCGCGGCGCCGUCCGAGUUCCUUGGAACAGGACGCCAUAGAGGGUGAGAGCCCCGUACGGGCGGCCGCCUAGCCUUUGUAAAGCUCCUUCGACGAGUCGAGUAGUUUGGGAAUGCUGCUCAAAAUGGGAGGUAAAUUUCUUCUAAAGCUAAAUACCGGCCAGAGACCGAUAGCGCACAAGUAGAGUGAUCGAAAGAUGAAAAGCACUUUGAAAAGAGGGUUAAAAAGUACGUGAAAUUGUUGAAAGGGAAGCGCCUGUGACCAGACUUGCGGCCCGUGGAUCAUCCGGUGUUCUUCACCGGUGCACUCCGCGGGCUGCAGGCCAGCAUCGGUUUUCCUAGGGGGAUAAAGGUCGCGGGAACGUAGCUCCCUCGGGAGUGUUAUAGCCCGUGGCGUCAUGCCUCUGGGGGGACCGAGGACCGCGCUUCGGCAAGGAUGCUGGCGUAAUGGUCACCGGCGACCCGUCUUGAAACACGGACCAAGGAGUCAAGCAUUGGGGCGAGUGUCUGGGUGCCAAACCCGCACGCGAAAUGAAAGUAAACGCAGGUGAGAGCUUCGGCGCAUCACCGACCGAUCCUGAUGUUCUCGGAUGGAUUUGAGUAAGAGCCUUACCGCUUGGACCCGAAAGAUGGUGAACUAUGCCUGUAUAGGGUGAAGCCAGAGGAAACUCUGGUGGAGGCUCGCAGCGGUUCUGACGUGCAAAUCGAUCGUCAAAUAUGGGCAUGGGGGCGAAAGACUAAUCGAACCAUCUAGUAGCUGGUUA
Molecule: ribosomal RNA, 891 nt
Filed under: Ophiostoma piceae
Lineage: Eukaryota; Fungi; Ascomycota; Sordariomycetes; Ophiostomatales; Ophiostomataceae
Description: LSU rRNA
Rfam family: Eukaryotic large subunit ribosomal RNA
Source: RNAcentral